AUAUCUUGACAGAAGAGAAGAUUUCCUCCUUUUAAACUACGCUGAUGAACGAUCUUCUGUAAAGUCACGGGUUAGGAAGAAAACUAGAAUACCUCCUUUUUUGUUGUUGUUUAUGAAUGCCAAUAAUGUAUUCACAUGUGACAUUUGAGCUGGCAUUUUUUUUUCCUCUCCUAAGAUGACAGUAGCUUUCGCCGAGGUUGUAUCCUAAAGCAAAGUCAGAAUAACCCUUUGCUUCUGUACCCCUUGGUAGUUCUAUUUUACCCUCUUGCCUUUUUCUCUUAGACCUUAUGGUGUUUCCUAACCCUCAGACUGUUUUGAAAGGCUUUGAUUAAAAUAUGCUGAUAAAAGAAUUUGAUAACCCAAGUUAGGGACGACAAGGCUAUCUGGAGAAGACCGAAUGAUUUGGCAGCCUAACAAAUUCUAUUCAGAGCACACAAAGAGAUCCUGGAAUGUUUUAUAGGGAC
RNAcentral lists this long non-coding RNA (464 nucleotides) under Bos taurus (domestic cattle). RNAcentral's name for it is "long non-coding RNA NONBTAT018783". Lineage: Eukaryota; Metazoa; Chordata; Mammalia; Artiodactyla; Bovidae. The record is from RNAcentral.